GACGAACGCUGGCGGCGUGCUUAACACAUGCAAGUCGAACGGUGAAGGGGCCUGCUUUUGUGGGUCCUGGAUGAGUGGCGAACGGGUGAGUAACACGUGAGUAACCUGCCCCCUUCUUCUGGAUAACCGCAUGAAAGUGUGGCUAAUACGGGAUAUUCUGUGCUGCUGCAUGGUGGGUGUGGGAAAGAUUGCGCCCUUUUUGGGUGUUUUUGGUGGGGGAUGGGCUCGCGGCCUAUCAGCUUGUUGGUGGGGUGAUGGCCUACCAAGGCGGUGACGGGUAGCCGGCCUGAGAGGGUGGACGGUCACACUGGGACUGAGACACGGCCCAGACUCCUACGGGAGGCAGCAGUGGGGAAUAUUGCACAAUGGGCGCAAGCCUGAUGCAGCGACGCCGCGUGAGGGAUGGAGGCCUUCGGGUUGUGAACCUCUUUCGCCAGUGAAGCAGGCCUGCUCCUUGGUGGGUGGGUUGACGGUAGCUGGAUAAGAAGCGCGGCUAAUAC
This 500-nucleotide ribosomal RNA is filed under the name Actinomyces sp. oral taxon 171. Its description in RNAcentral is "bacterial SSU rRNA". It matches the Rfam family "Bacterial small subunit ribosomal RNA", at positions 28 to 503 of the family's 1533-position model. The record is from RNAcentral. Lineage: Bacteria; Bacillati; Actinomycetota; Actinomycetes; Actinomycetales; Actinomycetaceae.